AUGUUUUAUGUAAGUCAUAGUGAACUCUUCACACGAUCAGUGAACAGCAGACAGCUGAUCUGUGUUUAUUCACUCAAGACUGAACCUGAGAUCAGAUCACCACACAGUGACACAUACACCUUCAGAGACACAGUCACCAUCAGAGAUCUUCCUCAGGCCAAGUUGAGAGCGUCUGCUUCAGUUAUUCUGGAAACAGACACAGUUGAGCUGAGCUGUGAGAAUACUGAAGAUCUGAAGAUGGAGAAGUGUUUCUUCAACAUAAAUGGAAGAGAAAGUAACUCAAAACAGAGCUCAUCAUGUCAGCUCUCACUCACUGGAUCUCAGAUCAGUGUUUGGUCUGGAGGUCAGAGUUCAUCUGUGAGAAUAAGCUGCUUCUACACUGUGAAUUUGUCACAAGUUCAAAAACCAUCUGCUCACUCUGAUCCAGUGACAGUAACAGUCAACAUUUCAACAUCAAUAUCCCCUCAAAAAACUUCACAACUGGACUCUGUCAUUUCCACGUCUGAAACCCCAGUGUACCGCACAACAGAUCUAUGGUUUAUAGUGCUGGUUUUUACUUGUGUUGCUGUCAUUUUGUCCGGACUCAUGGGACUCAGCUGUCUCUGCGUGUUUGCAGGUAAAAAAAUAAGAAAAGGGUAA
Cyprinus carpio (common carp) is the source of this 639-nucleotide long non-coding RNA. The record is from Ensembl. NCBI's taxonomy places the organism in Eukaryota, Metazoa, Chordata, Actinopteri, Cypriniformes, Cyprinidae.